UAGGGAAUCUUCCACAAUGGACGAAAGUCUGAUGGAGCAACGCCGCGUGAGUGAAGAAGGUUUUCGGAUCGUAAAGCUCUGUUGUUGGUGAAGAAGGAUAGAGGCAGUAACUGGUCUUUAUUGACGGUAAUCAACCAGAAAGUCACGGCUAACUACGUGCCAG
RNAcentral lists this ribosomal RNA (163 nucleotides) under uncultured bacterium. RNAcentral describes it as "partial 16S rRNA". It matches the Rfam family "Bacterial small subunit ribosomal RNA", at positions 355 to 511 of the family's 1533-position model. The record is from RNAcentral.